GCCAGGCAUGGUGGAGCAUGCCUGUAAUUCCAGCAGCUCAGGAGGCUGAGGCAGGAGGAUAGAGAGUUCAAAGACAGCCUCAGCAACUUAGCAAGGCCCUAAGCAACUUAGUGAAGCUCUAAGUAACUUAGUAAUACCCUGUCUCAA
RNAcentral lists this small RNA (147 nucleotides) under Marmota monax (woodchuck). Lineage: Eukaryota; Metazoa; Chordata; Mammalia; Rodentia; Sciuridae. The record is from RNAcentral.